GCUAGCGUGCCCGAAUGGUUGAAGGGGAAUGAUUUAAGCUCGUUUUUCGUGGGUUAGAUUCCCAUCGUUAGUA
This 73-nucleotide transfer RNA is filed under the name Mimivirus LCMiAC01. Its description in RNAcentral is "tRNA-Leu". It matches the Rfam family "tRNA". From Rfam's summary of the family: Transfer RNA (tRNA) molecules are approximately 80 nucleotides in length. Their secondary structure includes four short double-helical elements and three loops (D, anti-codon, and T loops). The record is from RNAcentral. Lineage: Varidnaviria; Bamfordvirae; Nucleocytoviricota; Megaviricetes; Imitervirales; Mimiviridae.